GUCCGGCAAUGGAAGAAACUCUGACCGAGCAACGCCGCGUGAAUGACGAAGUACUUCGGUAUGUAAAGUUCUUUUAUCAAGGAAGAAAAGCAAAUGGCGAACCAUUUGUUUGCCGGUACUUGAUGAAUAAGCCCCGGCUAAUUAUGUGCCAGCAGCCGCGGUAAGACAUAAGGGGCAAGUGUUAUCCGGAAUUAUUGGGCGUAAAGGGUGCGUAGGCGGUCUAGUAAGUCAGUGGUGUAAUGGCAACGCUUAACGUUGUCCGGCUAUUGAAACUGCUAAACUUGAGUUAGAUAGAGGCGAGUGGAAUUCCAUGUGUAGCGGUAAAAUGCGUAAAUAUAUGGAGGAACACCAGAGGCGUAGGCGGCUCGCUGGGUCUUAACUGACGCUGAGGCACGAAAGCGUGGGGAGCAAACAGGAUUAGAUACCCUGGUAGUCCACGCCGUAAACGAUGAGUACUAAGUGUCGGGUUAAACCGGUACUGAAGUUAACACAUUAAGUACUCCGCCUGAGUAGUACGUACGCAAGUAUGAAACUUAAAGGAAUUGACGGGACUCCGCACAAGCGGUGGAUCAUGUUGUUUAAUUCGAAGAUACCCGAAAAACCUUACCAGGUCUUGACAUGUUUUUGCAAAAUGAUAGUAAUAUCGUGGAGGUUACCAGAAACACAGGUGGUGCAUGGUUGUCGUCAGCUCGUGUCGUGAGAUGUUAGGUUAAGUCCUAAAACGAGCGAAACCCUUAUCGUUAGUUGCCAGCACGUUAUGGUGGGGACUUUAACGAGACUGCCAAUGAUAAAUUGGAGGAAGGUGAGGAUCACGUCAAAUCAGCAUGCCCCUUAUGACCUGGGCUACAAACGUGAUACAAUGGCUGUUACAAGAAUUAGCUGAAAAAA
RNAcentral lists this ribosomal RNA (888 nucleotides) under Phytoplasma sp. Its description in RNAcentral is "bacterial SSU rRNA". It matches the Rfam family "Bacterial small subunit ribosomal RNA", at positions 359 to 1258 of the family's 1533-position model. The record is from RNAcentral. Lineage: Bacteria; Bacillati; Mycoplasmatota; Mollicutes; Acholeplasmatales; Acholeplasmataceae.